Molecule: long non-coding RNA, 242 nt
Filed under: Mytilus galloprovincialis (Mediterranean mussel)
Lineage: Eukaryota; Metazoa; Mollusca; Bivalvia; Mytilida; Mytilidae
Source: RNAcentral
AAUUAUUAGGUUUAAAGAAAUGUAAUUUUGGUUUACAUUCUCUACGUUCGGGUGGGGCUACAGCUGCUGCAAAUGCAGGUAUUUCCGAUAGAUUGUUUAAAAAACAUGGUAGAUGGAAAUCAGAAAAUGCAAAAGAUGGUUAUAUUAGAGAAAAUAUUGUUCAUCAACUUUCUGUAUCUAUGAAUAUAGGCAUUUAAUAAAUAUAUUAUUUCAAUUGUGUAAUUAUUUUUGUCCUACACGCC